CAAAUCAGGUGGGACUACCCGCUGAACUUAAGCAUAUCAAUAAGCG
RNAcentral lists this ribosomal RNA (46 nucleotides) under Cronartium flaccidum. Its description in RNAcentral is "partial 26S ribosomal RNA". Lineage: Eukaryota; Fungi; Basidiomycota; Pucciniomycetes; Pucciniales; Coleosporiaceae. The record is from RNAcentral.